RNAcentral lists this ribosomal RNA (253 nucleotides) under uncultured prokaryote. Its description in RNAcentral is "partial 16S ribosomal RNA". It matches the Rfam family "Bacterial small subunit ribosomal RNA", at positions 524 to 776 of the family's 1533-position model. The record is from RNAcentral.
GACGUAGGAUGCGAGCGUUGUCCGGAUUUAUUGGGCGUAAAGAGUUCGUAGGUGGUUUGUUAAGUCUGGUGUUAAAGAUCAGGGCUCAACCCUGGGAGUGCAUUGGAUACUGGCAGACUGGAGUGCAGUAGAGGCGAGUGGAAUUCCUAGUGUAGCGGUGAAAUGCGUAGAUAUUAGGAAGAACACCAGUGGCGUAAGCGACUCGCUGGACUGUAACUGACACUGAGGAACGAAAGCCAGGGUAGCGAAUGGG